Molecule: ribosomal RNA, 473 nt
Filed under: uncultured bacterium
Lineage: Bacteria
Description: SSU rRNA
Rfam family: Bacterial small subunit ribosomal RNA
Source: RNAcentral
AGGAUAAACGCUGGCGGCGUGCAUGAGACAUGCAAGUCGAACGGACGAUCAGGGCUUGCUCUGAUCGUUAGUGGCGGACGGCUGAGUAACGCGUAGGUGACCUGUCCCGAAGUGGGGAAUAACUGCCCGAAAGGGUGGCUAAUACCGCAUGUGGUGGUGUGUUCAUUCACACCAGUAAAGCCGCAAGGCGCUUCGGGAGGGGCCUGCGUCCGAUUAGCUCGUUGGUGGGUAACGGCUCACCAAGGCGACGAUCGGUAGGUGGUCUGAGAGGACGAUCACCCAGACUGGGACUGAGACACGGCCCAGACUCCUACGGGAGGCAGCAGUCGGGAAUUUUGCGCAAUGGACGAAAGUCUGACGCAGCAACGCCGCGUGAGGGAUGACGGCCUUCGGGUUGUAACCUCUUUAUCAGGGAAGAUAAUGACGGUACCUGAUGAAUAAGUCACGGCUAACUACGCGCCAGCAGCCGCGGU